AUUGAACGCUGGCGGCAGGCCUAACACAUGCAAGUCGAGCGGAUGAAGGGAGCUUGCUCCUGGAUUCAGCGGCGGACGGGUGAGUAAUGCCUAGGAAUCUGCCUGGUAGUGGGGGAUAACGUCCGGAAACGGGCGCUAAUACCGCAUACGUCCUGAGGGAGAAAGUGGGGGAUCUUCGGACCUCACGCUAUCAGAUGAGCCUAGGUCGGAUUAGCUAGUUGGUGGGGUAAAGGCCUACCAAGGCGACGAUCCGUAACUGGUCUGAGAGGAUGAUCAGUCACACUGGAACUGAGACACGGUCCAGACUCCUACGGGAGGCAGCAGUGGGGAAUAUUGGACAAUGGGCGAAAGCCUGAUCCAGCCAUGCCGCGUGUGUGAAGAAGGUCUUCGGAUUGUAAAGCACUUUAAGUUGGGAGGAAGGGCAGUAAGUUAAUACCUGUGUUUUGACGUUACCAACAGAAUAAG
Molecule: ribosomal RNA, 465 nt
Filed under: Pseudomonas aeruginosa
Lineage: Bacteria; Pseudomonadati; Pseudomonadota; Gammaproteobacteria; Pseudomonadales; Pseudomonadaceae
Description: bacterial SSU rRNA
Rfam family: Bacterial small subunit ribosomal RNA
Source: RNAcentral